AAAAGCCAUGGAUGAAUUCACGGCCGGUGUUGGCUGAUUCCCUAGAUCUUGGAGACGAGAGGAAGUGACGAAGAAGUGCAGCUCCCUCCAACCCAUGCGCGCCCACCUAACAAGCCAACCGACCUGCUGCUGGAAGUGCUCUUUUCACCGACAGCUGCCACGCCAAGCCACCGCAAAAGACAGGUGAAGCCUCGAAAGAGUAAGCAACUCGCCUUCCCCAGUUGUUCACUUCGCCGAUGUUGAUGCGUUGCCCGUCUCUCUGACUGGGUAGCCUUGCAGGUGAAGGGUUUGCAGUUCGCAAAAGAGACUACUCAUUCACACCGGAGAUUGAGCAAUCACAAGCUGAUCCAUCAGACGUCAUAUGCACAGGUCAAGAAAAGGCACACAUUCUGUAGAUCGUACUCAACAAUCUUAAAGCCCUUUCCCCCUCUUCUUAGGAGAGGAAGAAUCUCUCUUCAGAUAGGCACAGACAGUUAAUAUUGUUCUAGGGGAAACAUCAGCUUCCAUUUUAGAUGAUUAUGUCUGAUAGGACACUUGCAAGAAUGCGUCAGUUUCUAGGAUAAUGACUGAUGAAGGCUUUUGUAAGCAGUUAUCGGAUCUGCCUGUAAUGCAGAAGCUGUAUGUACAAUGUUCC
RNAcentral lists this long non-coding RNA (634 nucleotides) under Setaria viridis. RNAcentral describes it as "long non-coding RNA (SVIR_LNC011080)". Lineage: Eukaryota; Viridiplantae; Streptophyta; Magnoliopsida; Poales; Poaceae. The record is from RNAcentral.